RNAcentral lists this microRNA precursor (76 nucleotides) under Pelobates cultripes (western spadefoot toad). Lineage: Eukaryota; Metazoa; Chordata; Amphibia; Anura; Pelobatidae. The record is from RNAcentral.
CUCUGUUUAGGGUACGUUCUGUAUGUGUGUAUGUACACACACACACACACACACACAGAACGUACCCUAAACAGAG